GUGUCAGCAGCCGCGGUAAUACGGAGGGUGCAAGCGUUAAUCGGAAUUACUGGGCGUAAAGGGUGCGUAGGUGGUUUGGUAAGUUAUCUGUAAAAUCCCCGGGCUCAACCUGGGCAGGUCAGAUAAUACUGCUGAACUCGAGUAUGGGAGAGGGUAGUGGAAUUUCCGGUGUAGCGGUGAAAUGCGUAGAGAUCGGAAGGAACACCAGUGGCGAAGGCGGCUACCUGGCCUAAUACUGACACUGAGGCACGAAAGCGUGGGGAGCAAACAGGAUUAGAAACCCGUGUAGUCC
Molecule: ribosomal RNA, 292 nt
Filed under: uncultured bacterium
Lineage: Bacteria
Description: partial 16S ribosomal RNA
Rfam family: Bacterial small subunit ribosomal RNA
Source: RNAcentral